Gallus gallus (chicken) is the source of this 657-nucleotide long non-coding RNA. The record is from Ensembl. NCBI's taxonomy places the organism in Eukaryota, Metazoa, Chordata, Aves, Galliformes, Phasianidae.
AGAACCGACUCUAGAUGAUUAGGAGUAAAUUUGGUUCAGAAUUAGGUAUGAGCCUGUCCUGCUUGAACUCCAAACUAGGCAAAAGCUGGGUAGCCUAUUUUCUGCAGUACCCACCUUGAAACAAUAUGUUCUGCUUCUCAGAUCCAAACAAGCUCCAAACGUUAAUCUUGACUCCCAGCUUGUCUGAAGGAUAUGCAAGCUGACCUCCCAUCCUCCUGCAAAAGACCUGGAAAUGAUGUCAGAUUGUCUGGUCUAGACAUGAUGCUAACUGCUCUUUUUUGGAGACCAGAGAGUGCUGUCUUUCCUGAAGGCCACUGAGCACCACCACUCUGGGAAAUGACAGAAGGCUGAAUGUUUUGGCAAUCAAAUUUGGGAAGCAGUUUCUGCAAGAGGUCGGUGCUGCCUGAGUUCCCCCAGCAGAAGACACUUUAUCCCAUUACGAACAAACGGCAUUACUUACUGAAGGAGUUGAAUGCUGUGGUAUUUCCCAGUGUGCCACAUGGCUGCAGAAAUGAAAAUAUCACCUCUUCUAAAAUUUGCUUUAAAAAUGAAUGCACAAACUGCAAUCAAAAUAGAAUCAAAGGAAAAAAGCAAACAAACACAACGAGCUUGAUGAAUAUGGAAAAGGGAGAAAUGAAGGAGGUGGUGAAAAGAAAC